Molecule: small RNA, 27 nt
Filed under: Bombyx mori (domestic silkworm)
Lineage: Eukaryota; Metazoa; Arthropoda; Insecta; Lepidoptera; Bombycidae
Description: ovarian small RNA-32730
Source: RNAcentral
UGAUCUAGUUCUCCUGAUGACACCUUC